Molecule: ribosomal RNA, 279 nt
Filed under: uncultured bacterium
Lineage: Bacteria
Description: partial 16S ribosomal RNA
Rfam family: Bacterial small subunit ribosomal RNA
Source: RNAcentral
UGCCAGCCGCCGCGGUAAUACGGAGGGUGCAAGCGUUGUUCGGAAUUAUUGGGCGUAAAGCGCGCGUAGGCGGCAAGGUAAGUCGGAUGUGAAAUCCCAGGGCCCAACCCUGGAACUGCAUUCGAUACUGCCUCGCUAGAGUCUCGGAGAGGAUGGCGGAAUUCCGGGUGUAGAGGUGAAAUUCGUAGAUAUCCGGAGGAACACCAGUGGCGAAGGCGGCCAUCUGGACGAUGACUGACGCUGAGGUGCGAAAGCGUGGGGAGCAAACAGGAUUAGAUA